ACGAACGCUGGCGGCGUGCUUAACACAUGCAAGUCGAACGGAAAGGCCCUGCUUUUGUGGGGUGCUCGAGUGGCGAACGGGUGAGUAACACGUGAGUAACCUGCCCUUGACUUUGGGAUAACUUCAUGAAACUGGGGCUAAUACCGGAUAGGAGCUCCUGCUGCAUGGUGGGGGUUAGAAAGUUUCGGCGGUUGGGGAUGGACUCGCGGCUUAUCAGCUUGUUGGUGGGGUAGUGGCUUACCAAGGCUUUGACGGGUAGCCGGCCUGAGAGGGUGACCGGCCACAUUGGGACUGAGAUACGGCCCAGACUCCUACGGGAGGCAGCAGUGGGGAAUAUUGCACAAUGGGCGGAAGCCUGAUGCAGCAACGCCGCGUGCGGGAUGACGGCCUUCGGGUUGUAAACCGCUUUCGCCUGUGACGAAGCGUGAGUGACGGUAAUGGGUAAAGAAGCACCGGCUAACUACGUG
This 467-nucleotide ribosomal RNA is filed under the name uncultured bacterium. RNAcentral's name for it is "partial 16S ribosomal RNA". It matches the Rfam family "Bacterial small subunit ribosomal RNA", at positions 29 to 507 of the family's 1533-position model. The record is from RNAcentral.